GGGGAAGCAAUAUCGAGCGUGUCAUGGUGUCAGCCCUCAAAGUUAAGGUCUUGCUCUGUCACCUGGACUAGAAUGGAGUGGUGUCAUUACAGCUUACUGAGACCUCAAACUCCUGGGCUCAAGUGAUCCUCUUGCCUCAGACUACCGAGUAACUGGACUACAGGCACAUGAAGAAGAAUUAA
Molecule: long non-coding RNA, 182 nt
Organism: Lemur catta (Ring-tailed lemur)
Lineage: Eukaryota; Metazoa; Chordata; Mammalia; Primates; Lemuridae
Exons: 3
Source: RefSeq, a predicted model, not a curated record